Molecule: non-coding RNA, 78 nt
Organism: Danio rerio (zebrafish)
Lineage: Eukaryota; Metazoa; Chordata; Actinopteri; Cypriniformes; Danionidae
Source: Rfam
ACUUCGAUAGCUCAGUUGGUAGAGUGUGGGACUGUAGGACCAAUUCUUAGGUCGCAGGUUCGAUUCCAGCUCAAAGGA